RNAcentral lists this ribosomal RNA (380 nucleotides) under uncultured cyanobacterium. RNAcentral's name for it is "bacterial SSU rRNA". It matches the Rfam family "Bacterial small subunit ribosomal RNA", at positions 376 to 770 of the family's 1533-position model. Lineage: Bacteria; Bacillati; Cyanobacteriota. The record is from RNAcentral.
CGAAAGCCUGACGGAGCAAGACCGCGUGGGGGAGGAAUGCCUUAGGGUUGUAAACCCCUUUUAUCUGGGAAGAACAAAAUGACGGUACCAGAUGAAUAAGCCUCGGCUAACUCCGUGCCAGCAGCCGCGGUAAUACGGAGGAGGCAAGCGUUAUCCGGAAUUAUUGGGCGUAAAGAGUCCGUAGGUGGUUCAUCAAGUCUGCUGUUAAAGCGUGCAGCUCAACUGCAUAUAGGCAGUGGAAACUGUUGAACUAGAGUAUGGUAGGGGUAGGGGGAAUUCCCGGUGUAGCGGUGAAAUGCGUAGAGAUUGGGAAGAACACCGGUGGCGAAAGCGCCCUACUGGGCCAUAACUGACACUGAGGGACGAAAGCUAGGGUAGCG